RNAcentral lists this ribosomal RNA (468 nucleotides) under uncultured bacterium. RNAcentral describes it as "partial 16S ribosomal RNA". It matches the Rfam family "Bacterial small subunit ribosomal RNA", at positions 28 to 507 of the family's 1533-position model. The record is from RNAcentral.
GACGAACGCUGGCGGCGUGCUUAAUACAUGCAAGUCGAACGGAAAGGCCCGGCUUUUGUGGGGCGCUCGAGUGGCGAACGGGUGAGUAACACGUGAGUAACCUGCCCUUGACUUUGGGAUAACUUCAGGAAACUGGGGCUAAAACCGGAUAGGAGCUCCUGCUGCAUGGGGGGGGUUGGUAAGUGUCGGCGGUUGGGGAUGGACUCGCGGCUUAUCAGCUUGUUGGGGGGGUAGUGGCAUACCAAGGCUUUGAAGGGUAGCCGGCCUGAGAGGGUGACCGGCCACAAUGGGACUGAGAGAGGGACCAGACUCCUACGGGACGCAGAAGUCGGGAAUAUUACGCAAUGGGCGGAAGUCAGAUGCAGCAACGCCGCGUGCGGGAUGACGGCUUUCGAGUUGUAAACCACUUUCGACUGAGACAAAGCGUGAGUGACGGUAAUGGGUCAAGAAGCACCGGCUAACUACGUG